This 640-nucleotide ribosomal RNA is filed under the name uncultured bacterium. Its description in RNAcentral is "bacterial SSU rRNA". It matches the Rfam family "Bacterial small subunit ribosomal RNA", at positions 223 to 863 of the family's 1533-position model. The record is from RNAcentral.
AGAUGGGCAUGCGUAUGAUUAGAUAGUUGGUGGGGUAACGGCUCACCAAGUCAACGAUCAUUAGGGGUUCUGAGAGGAAGGUCCCCCACACUGGUACUGAGACCCGGACCAGACUCCUACGGGAGGCAGCAGUGAGGAAUAUUGGUCAAUGGGCGAGAGCCUGAACCAGCCAAGUCGCGUGAAGGAAGAAGGUUCUAUGGAUUGUAAACUUCUUUUGCACGGGAAUAAAGUGCGGUACGUGUACCGUAUUGUAUGUACUGUGCGAAUAAGGAUCGGCUAACUCCGUGCCAGCAGCCGCGGUAAUACGGAGGAUCCGAGCGUUAUCCGGAUUUAUUGGGUUUAAAGGGUGCGUAGGCGGGAGAUUAAGUCAGUGGUGAAAGUUUGCAGCUUAACUGUAAAAUUGCCAUUGAAACUGAUUUUCUUGAGUGUAAAUAAGGUAGGCGGAAUGUGUUGUGUAGCGGUGAAAUGCAUAGAUAUAACACAGAACCCCGAUUGCGAAGGCAGCUUACCGGGCUACAACUGACGCUGAGGCACGAAAGCGUGGGGAUCAAACAGGAUUAGAUACCCUGGUAGUCCACGCCGUAAACUCUGAAUACUAACUGUUUGCGAUAUACAGUAAGCGGUACAGCGAAAGCGUUAA